This 462-nucleotide long non-coding RNA is filed under the name Musa acuminata (dwarf banana). RNAcentral describes it as "long non-coding RNA (MACU_LNC011591)". The record is from RNAcentral. Lineage: Eukaryota; Viridiplantae; Streptophyta; Magnoliopsida; Zingiberales; Musaceae.
CUUUACGAGUCAAUCUGAAGUAAGCAAUAAUCUUUCACAAUUAUAUUCAGAUUUGAAAGGAAUUGAAAGCAAGGGCACAUAUGGAAUCCAAGCAAUCACAUACAACUUAAUUCAAAUAAGAAGGUUAGAUGAAUUCGAUAUCCAAAGGAAUGAAACUAGAAUAGGCACACAUCGAAAGCAAAUGCGGAACAAUGGGUUAUACAUGUGCCUAUAUAAGUCAAUGUGAUAUAGCAUAAACGUUACACAAUAUGUUCAGGAAUGGUAAUAAUUUAUAGACAAGAGCAAACGAGAAUUCAAACAUUAAUAUAAGCCACAAUUGAGUGAAGGGAACUGAACAAAAUAUAUUUCCAAACGAACGAAAACAGAAGAUACGAAAUCGAUCAAAGCUCGAUUUCUGACAGAAUACGAGAGGCUCAUUGGAUAAAUACUUCAGAUUAUCAAUUAUGCUCCAAUACCCUCAAG